CCUACGGGAGGCAGCAGUGGGGAAUAUUGCACAAUGGGCGCAAGCCUGAUGCAGCCAUGCCGCGUGUGUGAAGAAGGCCUUCGGGUUGUAAAGCACUUUCAGCGGGGAGGAAGGCGGUGAGGUUAAUAACCUCAUCGAUUGACGUUACCCGAAGAAUAAGCACCGGCUAACUCCGUGCCAGCAGCCGCGGUAAUACGGAGGGUGCAAGCGUUAAUCGGAAUUACUGGGCGUAAAGCGCACGCAGGCGGUCUGGCAAGUCGGAUGUGAAAUCCCCGGGCUCAACCUGGGAAGUGCAUUCGAAACUGGCAGGCUAGAGUCUUGUAGAGGGGGGUAGAAUGCCAGGUGUAGCGGUGAAAUGCGUAGAGAUCUGGAGGAAUACCGGUGGCGAAGGCGGCCCCCUGGACAAAGACUGACGCUCAGGUGCGAAAGCGUGGGGAGCAAACAGGAUUAGAUACCCUAGUAGUC
Molecule: ribosomal RNA, 465 nt
Filed under: uncultured Klebsiella sp.
Lineage: Bacteria; Pseudomonadati; Pseudomonadota; Gammaproteobacteria; Enterobacterales; Enterobacteriaceae
Description: bacterial SSU rRNA
Rfam family: Bacterial small subunit ribosomal RNA
Source: RNAcentral